CACCAGCGCCACGAGUGGCUAUCGCGAUUAUUGGGCCUAAAGCGUCCGUAGUCGGCUCUGUACAUCUUCUGUGAAAUCGUUGCGCUUAACGUAACGGCACGCGGAAGACACGGCAGAGCUUGAGAGCGGGAGGCGUGAAGAGUACUCCUGGGGGACCGGUAAAAUGGUAUAAUCCCAGGAAGACUACCUGUGGCGAAGGCGCUUCACGAGAACGCAUCUGACGAUGAGGGACGAAAGCCAGGGGAGCAAACCGG
RNAcentral lists this ribosomal RNA (254 nucleotides) under uncultured bacterium. Its description in RNAcentral is "partial 16S ribosomal RNA". It matches the Rfam family "Archaeal small subunit ribosomal RNA", at positions 474 to 727 of the family's 1478-position model. The record is from RNAcentral.